CGCAUUGUAAUUUGUAGAGGAUGAUUUGGGGAAGCCGCCUGUCUAAGUUCCUUGGAACAGGACGUCAUAGAGGGUGAGAAUCCCGUAUGUGACAGGAAAUGGCACCCUAUGUAAAUCUCCUUCGACGAGUCGAGUUGUUUGGGAAUGCAGCUCUAAAUGGGAGGUAAAUUUCUUCUAAAGCUAAAUAUUGGCGAGAGACCGAUAGCGCACAAGUAGAGUGAUCGAAAGAUGAAAAGCACUUUGGAAAGAGAGUUAAAAAGCACGUGAAAUUGUUGAAAGGGAAGCGCUUGCAAUCAGACUUGUUUAAACUGUUCGGCCGGUCUUCUGACCGGUUUACUCAGUUUGGACAGGCCAGCAUCAGUUUCGGCGGCCGGAUAAAGGCUCUGGGAAUGUGGCCUCCACUUCGGUGGAGGUGUUAUAGCCCAGGGUGUAAUACGGCCAGCCGGGACUGAGGUC
This 456-nucleotide ribosomal RNA is filed under the name Aureobasidium pullulans. RNAcentral's name for it is "partial large subunit ribosomal RNA". It matches the Rfam family "Eukaryotic large subunit ribosomal RNA", at positions 139 to 600 of the family's 3401-position model. Lineage: Eukaryota; Fungi; Ascomycota; Dothideomycetes; Dothideales; Saccotheciaceae. The record is from RNAcentral.